This 1484-nucleotide ribosomal RNA is filed under the name Pycnacronema rubrum. RNAcentral's name for it is "16S ribosomal RNA". It matches the Rfam family "Bacterial small subunit ribosomal RNA". The record is from RNAcentral. Lineage: Bacteria; Bacillati; Cyanobacteriota; Cyanophyceae; Coleofasciculales; Wilmottiaceae.
AGAGUUUGAUCCUGGCUCAGGAUGAACGCUGGCGGUCUGCUUAACACAUGCAAGUCGAACGCAAGUAGAAAUACUUGAGUGGCGGACGGGUGAGUAACGCGUGAGAAUCUGCCUUCUGGUCGGGGACAACCACGGGAAACGGUGGCUAAUACCGGGUGAGCCUGCGGGUAAAAGAGAAAUUGCCAGAAGAGGAGCUCGCGUCUGAUUAGCUAGUUGGUGGGGUAAAGGCUCACCAAGGCAUCGAUCAGUAGCUGGUCUGAGAGGACGAUCAGCCACACUGGGACUGAGACACGGCCCAGACUCCUACGGGAGGCAGCAGUGGGGAAUUUUCCGCAAUGGGCGAAAGCCUGACGGAGCAAGACCGCGUGAGGGAAGAAGGCUCUUGGGUCGUAAACCUCUUUUGUUAGGGAAGAACACAAUGACGGUACCUAACGAAUCAGCCUCGGCUAACUCCGUGCCAGCAGCCGCGGUAAUACGGAGGAGGCAAGCGUUAUCCGGAAUUAUUGGGCGUAAAGCGUCCGCAGGUGGCGAUUCAAGUCUGCGGUUAAAGACUGGGGCUUAACCCUGGAAAGGCCGUGGAAACUGAAAAGCUAGAGUGCAGUAGGGGUAGAGGGAAUUCCCGGUGUAGCGGUGAAAUGCGUAGAGCUCGGGAAGAACAUCGGUGGCGAAAGCGCUCUGCUGGACUGCAACUGACACUCAGGGACGAAAGCUAGGGGAGCGAAUGGGAUUAGAUACCCCAGUAGUCCUAGCCGUAAACGAUGGAUACUAGGUGUGGCUUGUAUCGACCCGAGCCGUGCCGUAGCUAACGCGUUAAGUAUCCCGCCUGGGGAGUACGCACGCAAGUGUGAAACUCAAAGGAAUUGACGGGGGCCCGCACAAGCGGUGGAGUAUGUGGUUUAAUUCGAUGCAACGCGAAGAACCUUACCAGGGCUUGACAUGUCCGGAAUCUUAGGGAAACUUAAGAGUGCCUUCGGGAGCCGGAACACAGGUGGUGCAUGGCUGUCGUCAGCUCGUGUCGUGAGAUGUUGGGUUAAGUCCCGCAACGAGCGCAACCCUCGUCUUUAGUUGCCAGCAUUCAGUUGGGCACUCUAGAGAGACUGCCGGUGACAAACCGGAGGAAGGUGGGGAUGACGUCAAGUCAGCAUGCCCCUUACGUCCUGGGCGACACACGUACUACAAUGCGACGGACAAAGGGCAGCUACCCAGCGAUGGCAAGCGAAUCCCAGAAACCGUGGCUCAGUUCAGAUCGCAGGCUGCAACUCGCCUGCGUGAAGGAGGAAUCGCUAGUAAUUGCAGGUCAGCAUACCGCAGUGAAUUCGUUCCCGGGCCUUGUACACACCGCCCGUCACACCAUGGAAGUUGGCCACGCCCGAAGUCGUUACCCUAACCGCUUGCGGAGGGGGACGCCGAAGGCAGGGCUGAUGACUGGGGUGAAGUCGUAACAAGGUAGCCGUACCGGAAGGUGUGGCUGGAUCACCUCCUUU